CCCGAUAUCUUGGAGGGAAGACACACAGGCGAUGCUCUGCGACGCGCGGAAUCGUAUGUGUGUUCCCUCCUGGUUUUUGGACUCCUGGUUGUCACUUUGAGACACAAACAUGGCCCGAAAUAUGCAAUGGUGUAUGCCAAGACGUUAUAUAGAGGUGUAAUAUUAUGAAAAAAGUCUGAAAAGAGGAAAAA
RNAcentral lists this unclassified non-coding RNA (191 nucleotides) under Yarrowia lipolytica. Lineage: Eukaryota; Fungi; Ascomycota; Dipodascomycetes; Dipodascales. The record is from RNAcentral.